This is a long non-coding RNA of Prionailurus viverrinus (fishing cat), 2383 nucleotides long. RefSeq lists it as uncharacterized. The record is from RefSeq and is a predicted model, not a curated record. The transcript has 3 exons. Lineage: Eukaryota; Metazoa; Chordata; Mammalia; Carnivora; Felidae.
GCACCCAGGAACGUUUGCUGGCUGCUGCUGCCGAUGCCCAGAUACUGCAGCCGGGUGCCAUCCUGCCCCAGAGAAAGUUCGCACGAUUGUGUAGCAGCGGCGUUUCAGGGGUUAUGGAAAAUCACAACACGCAUCUGGCACCGGGCUCCGCCCCCAGCGACCUUGUUCCAGCACCAGGUUGUUCUCCCGGGUCCAUUGGGACCUUGCCUUUGGGGGAUCCACACAGCCUCUACCAGCUGUCCCGGGAACCACCUCUCCCGUUCAGUCUGAAGACACCCGGACUCCUCUCUGCUCCUGGAGAUUUGCCCUUCCCACCCGAGCCCCGCCAGGAGCAUAGGAGCUUAUUCUUCAGCCCCCAAGGAUUCUUUCUUGGGAUGCCUUUUAAACCACUGGAAUCAAUUUGGAUUGCAAGAUCUAAGGAAAAAAAGAAAAACUAAUCUUCUUCUGUAACAUUUCCUGGUCUCAGUACUCCUUAGGAGAAGAGGAAAAAUGGCCCAUCAACAGGACAUUAAGCUUCAAUAUGAUCUAUCAGAUGUCUUCUGCAAGAAGCAGGGCAAAUGGACUGUGGUACCCUAUGCUCAGGCCUUCAUGUCCCUAAAUCAGGAUCCAGACCUGAGGUCCUCUUGAAGAAUUUUUCUAGCCACCAACCAGGUUGAUAAAAUCCCUCUGGACAUACUGGAUGAUGAUGUCUAUAUAGGCCCAUUCCUCCUAAUAAAGCUGGGCUUAGUGGAGGAAUCACCAGUCAGUCCAGACAAAGAAGAUACUGGCUCUGUUGCUAUGCCUUCUCCUUAUAAACCCAAGACCUCUCUGCUCCCAGCCCAGCUGGGACUUAGUUGGAGUGGGACUCCCUGUCUUCCAGAAGAUCCACCUAAAUUUGGAAUCUGCCCUUUUAGGGAAGUUGCCAAUGGAGAAAUGGGCACAAUGAGAGUCCAUGUCUCCAUGGCAGACCUGGCUCAGAUAAGACAACAGUGAGGAUGAUAUUCUGAAAAUGCUCUCAGUUUAUUGAGGACUUUCAACAAAUAUCUAUCAUGUAGGAUAUGACCUGGAUAUGUAGAUAUCAUAUUAACCCUUUGUUGAAUCCUUGAGGAAAAGAACUGCAUCUGGGCAGGAGAUCAAGAGUCCAGUGAUGAACUGGCAACAAGAGACAGGGAACAUUAUCUACGGAGAGAGCUGCUGUCCCAAAUACUGAACCACAUUGAAACUAUCAGGAUAGUCAGGAAAGGGAAAGACGAGAUGUAUGGUUUGACAGAAGGAAUGAAAAAAGGAUUUACUAAACCUGUAAUUUUAACAAAAAUCAGGAAGUCACCCAAAGAGUUGAUUAAAAUCCUGCUCUAUUUCAGGGUUGCUUAAUAGAACGCUAAUCCUAAAUAUACAAACCUGGACCCAACUAUACCUGAAGGAAUGCCUAUUUUAAACAUGCAUUUUAUAAAUCAGUGGGCACUUCACAUCCGCUGGAAGUUAACAAAAAUGACUUUAGACCCUCAAAUUCCCACUCAGCACCUCUUGGAGGUGGCUUUUGGAGUUUUCAAUAAUAGUGACAUGGCAUUAAUACCAGAAAAGGACCAGAGGGCUGAGUUACAGGGUGUGAUAAUCGGCUCAAAUAUUGGCUGCUGCUAUCUCGAGCUUCCCACAACACCAGACUAGCCAGAAGUCCUUGCUAAGGGCUGACUCCAGAUGACAGGUCAGAUAAGAUCCCAUGUUUCAGACAUGGCCAGAUGGGAUAUUGGAGCAGAGAUUGUCCCAACAAGGGCUCUCCCCCUGGGUCAUGCCCUGCUUGUAAAAACAAAGACAUUGGAUGAGAGACUGUCCUUGUGUCCAGAGAGAGAGAGAAGGUCAAGCACUCACCACCCUGCCCAAGAGUUAAAACCAGAGAAACUGGCAUGACAGGGCCCUGAGGCUGGUCCGGCUCCCUUUGUCAUCUAGAUGACUGAGCCCCGGGUUGCCCUGGAUGUGGGAGGUAAAUCCAGAAGGCACCGUCCGCCCUCCCCCACUUUUAAACCAGUCCAAAGACUUGGAUCAUACCCAGGAGAGGACUGGCAGCCUGAUUUCACACAAAUGCCUCCUUGCAAAGGCUGUAAGUUUCUACUGGUGUUUGUUGAUACCUUCACAGGAUGGAUGGAGGCCUUUCCACGUGAAACCGAAAGAACCACAGAAGUAACCAAAGUUUUGUUGUGAGAAAUUAUUCCCACAUUUGGCCUUCCACGAUCCCUUCAAAGUGACAAUGGUCCCUCUUUUACUGCAGAAACAACUCAACAAAUAGUGCAAGUUUUAAAAACUAAGUAUUUUCUGUGUUCAGUCUGGCGUCCACAAUCCUCUGGGAAGGUAGGAAAAGCUAACCAUACUUUAAAAUGACACCUUACUGGGGCGCCUGGGUGGCUCAGUU